UACCUGCAGCUCGAGUGGUGGCCACUAUUAUUGGGCCUAAAACGUCCGUAGCCGGUCUUAUAAAUGCCUGGGUAAAUCGUAUGGCUUAACCAUACGAAUUCCGGGUAGACUGUUUGACUUGAGACCGGGAGAAGCUAGAGGUACUCCUUGGGUAGAGGUGAAAUUCUGUAAUCCUAGGGGGACCACCAGUGGCGAAGGCGUCUAGCUAGAACGGGUCUGACGGUGAGGGACGAAGCCCUGGGGCGCAAACGGGAUUAGAUACCCCGGUAGUCCAGGGUGUAAACGCUGCUUGCUUGAUGUUAGUCUGGCUCCGAGCCAGAUUAGUGUCGGAGAGAAGUUGUUAAGCAAGCUGCCUGGGAAGUACGGCCGCAAGACUGAAACUUAAAGGAAUUGGCGGGGGAGCACAGCAACGGGUGGAGCGUGCGGUUU
Molecule: ribosomal RNA, 429 nt
Filed under: uncultured archaeon
Lineage: Archaea
Description: bacterial SSU rRNA
Rfam family: Archaeal small subunit ribosomal RNA
Source: RNAcentral